Molecule: long non-coding RNA, 256 nt
Organism: Bombus impatiens (common eastern bumble bee)
Lineage: Eukaryota; Metazoa; Arthropoda; Insecta; Hymenoptera; Apidae
Exons: 3
Source: RefSeq, a predicted model, not a curated record
AAUUGUAAAAUAUCGUAUCUUUUAUUUAUCGGUUAUAUUGAAAAUGCCCUAACUGUCAAUUUUCAUUCAGUUUUUACAAUCGUAAGAAGCUCAAGCGCUCCGGUCACCAAUGACCACCGUGGCCAUAUAUGACCCACGUGGCAGUCAAAGUGUUAAUAAAACUGAAAUCCACCCGACCUGAACGUUCUUCGUACCCUAAUCAAUGUAACAAAGUGAUCACAAGUUGCUUCAUACGUUCUGUCCCUAAUUUCUUCCG